CCAACUCAAUUAACUUGACGUCCUCGUCAAGGCCUGACAUAACCCAGAUCGAACCCUAGCAUAGUGCAUGUGAGGUUUAACUCAGUGGUGGCUCCACGCCGUGAUGAGUUCUCGACUCCAUCCUCCUACUCGAGCCCUCUCACCCUGCCCAAAUGCUAGGUCGGCUCUGAUACUAAAUGUCACGACCCGAGUCUGAUGAGCCAACUGGCCAAUAACUCCAUUUUGGUCCUUCAACCACGGACCAAAAUGCUUAAGCGGAAGUUAACGUAGUACACUCAUCAGGCCCUUAUAAGCUAA
RNAcentral lists this long non-coding RNA (297 nucleotides) under Musa acuminata (dwarf banana). Its description in RNAcentral is "long non-coding RNA (MACU_LNC006465)". Lineage: Eukaryota; Viridiplantae; Streptophyta; Magnoliopsida; Zingiberales; Musaceae. The record is from RNAcentral.